Molecule: ribosomal RNA, 320 nt
Filed under: uncultured eukaryote
Lineage: Eukaryota
Description: partial 18S ribosomal RNA
Rfam family: Eukaryotic small subunit ribosomal RNA
Source: RNAcentral
CCCUUAGCUGUUCUGGGCUGCACGCGUGUUACAAUCGGGAGUACAACAAGAUUGCAAAUCCUAGUGGAUGAGUGGUUCUUCGAAAUUUUCUGAAGACUGGGAUAGUUGAUUGAAAUUAUUCAACUCAAACGAGGAAUUCCUUGUAAUUGUAAUUCAUUAUAUUGUAAUGAAUACGUCCCUGCCCUUUGUACACACCGCCCGUCGCUCCUACCGAUUGAACGAUCCGGUGAAUUAUUUGGAGUAGCUCUGGAAGUUGCAGAACUUCCUAUGUCACGAAAUUUUGUAAACCUUAUCGUUUAGAGGAAGGAAAAGUCGUAACA